GACGAACGCUGGCGGCGUGCUUAACACAUGCAAGUCGAACGGUAAGGCUCCAGCUUGCUGGGGUACACGAGUGGCGAACGGGUGAGUAACACGUGGGUGACCUGCCCUGCACUUCGGGAUAAGCCUGGGAAACUGGGUCUAAUACCGGAUAGGACCGCACCGUGAGGGUGUGGUGGAGAGUUUUUUCGGUGUGGGAUGGGCCCGCGGCCUAUCAGCUUGUUGGUGGGGUAAUGGCCUACCAAGGCGGCGACGGGUAGCCGGCCUGAGAGGGUGGACGGCCACAUUGGGACUGAGACACGGCCCAGACUCCUACGGGAGGCAGCAGUGGGGAAUAUUGCACAAUGGGCGGAAGCCUGAUGCAGCGACGCCGCGUGGGGGAUGACGGCCUUCGGGUUGUAAACUCCUUUCACCAUCGACGAAGGGUUUCUGACGGUAGAUGGAGAAGAAGCACCGGCUAACUACGUGCCAGCAGCCGCGGUAAUACGUAGGGUGCGAGCGUUGUCCGGAAUUACUGGGCGUAAAGAGCUCGUAGGUGGUUUGUCGCGUCGUCUGUGAAAUUCCGGGGCUUAACUCCGGGCGUGCAGGCGAUACGGGCAUAACUUGAGUACUGUAGGGGAGACUGGAAUUCCUGGUGUAGCGGUGAAAUGCGCAGAUAUCAGGAGGAACACCGGUGGCGAAGGCGGGUCUCUGGGCAGUAACUGACGCUGAGGAGCGAAAGCAUGGGGAGCGAACAGGAUUAGAUACCCUGGUAGUCCAUGCCGUAAACGGUGGGCGCUAGGUGUGGGUUUCCUUCCACGGGAUCCGUGCCGUAGCUAACGCAUUAAGCGCCCCGCCUGGGGAGUACGGCCGCAAGGCUAAAACUCAAAGGAAUUGACGGGGGCCCGCACAAGCGGCGGAGCAUGUGGAUUAAUUCGAUGCAACGCGAAGAACCUUACCUGGGCUUGACAUAUACAGGAUCGCGCCAGAGAUGGUGUUUCCCUUGUGGCUUGUAUACAGGUGGUGCAUGGUUGUCGUCAGCUCGUGUCGUGAGAUGUUGGGUUAAGUCCCGCAACGAGCGCAACCCUUGUCUUAUGUUGCCAGCACGUUGUGGUGGGGACUCGUAAGAAACUGCCGGGGUUAACUCGGAGGAAGGUGGGGAUGACGUCAAAUCAUCAUGCCCCUUAUGUCCAGGGCUUCACACAUGCUACAAUGGUCGGUACAGUGGGUUGCCAGUCCGUGAGGGCGAGCUAAUCCCGCAAAGCCGGUCUCAGUUCGGAUCGGGGUCUGCAACUCGACCCCGUGAAGUCGGAGUCGCUAGUAAUCGCAGAUCAGCAACGCUGCGGUGAAUACGUUCCCGGGCCC
RNAcentral lists this ribosomal RNA (1341 nucleotides) under uncultured bacterium. Its description in RNAcentral is "partial 16S ribosomal RNA". It matches the Rfam family "Bacterial small subunit ribosomal RNA", at positions 28 to 1381 of the family's 1533-position model. The record is from RNAcentral.